Molecule: ribosomal RNA, 293 nt
Filed under: uncultured bacterium
Lineage: Bacteria
Description: partial 16S ribosomal RNA
Rfam family: Archaeal small subunit ribosomal RNA
Source: RNAcentral
GUGCCAGCAGCCGCGGUAAUACCGGCAGCACGAGUGAUGGCCGAUCUUAUUGGGCCUAAAGCGUCCGUAGCCGGCCGAGCGGGUCCGUCGGGAAAUCCACGUGCUCAACGCGUGGGCGUCCGGCGGAAACCACUCGGCUUGGGGCCGGAGGACCCGAGGGGUACGUCCGGGGUAGGAGUGAAAUCCUGUAAUCCUGGACGGACCGCCGGUGGCGAAAGCGCCUCGGGAAGACGGACCCGACAGUGAGGGACGAAAGCUGGGAUCUCGAACCGGAUUAGAAACCCCGGUAGUCC